This is a long non-coding RNA of Mya arenaria, 1719 nucleotides long. RefSeq lists it as uncharacterized. The transcript is spliced from 3 exons. The record is from RefSeq and is a predicted model, not a curated record. NCBI's taxonomy places the organism in Eukaryota, Metazoa, Mollusca, Bivalvia, Myida, Myidae.
CUGAACUUUGCGCAUGCGUGGCACAUGACCUUCCGCCAUAAACAAGAUGAAACUCAAAUCCUUCGCUUCGUCGCAUUUAGGGCAGAUGUGUGAUACAGAAGCCUAGCUGGGACUACGUUCUACAUAUUCAUUUCAUAAGCAAAGAAGGCAUACAUCACAUGACAUGAUCACGUGACAACAUUGAACAGUCUUAAACAGCUAGUAUGAAGGGACCCCAGUGUGUGGUCAAUGAUUGGAAUCUGACAGCUGACUGGAACAAACAUUUAAUCUUCAGGUGAAAAAGAGAUGAAAACAUGUCUAUCAAUCAGAGUCAGCAUUUGAAAUGGAAACACUGUCCAGAUAAAAGUUGAAGCUGGCUUGAGGGUACAGAGAUAGAAUGGGAUAUUAAACAUGAAGUAAGAAGAAGAUGAUUUUAUACAACAGAGGUAGGAAGCAAAUCUUGAAUGUGAUUAUAAACAUCAGAAGUAGAAGUCGAAGCUGGCAUGAAAUAUUAUACAACGUUACUUGAAGUCGGGCUGGCAAAUGGAGAAGAGAUGGCAUGUGAUAUUAUACAACUAUACAGUUACUUGAAGUCGGGCUGGCAAGUGGAGAAGAGAUGGCAUGUGAUAUUAUACAACUAUACAGUUACUUGAAGUCGGGCUGGCAAAUGGAGAAGAGAUGGCAUGUGAUAUUAUACAACUAUACAGUAACUUGAAGUCGGGCUGGCAAAUGGAGAAGAGAUGGCAUGUGAUAUUAUAUAACUAUACAGUUACUUGAAUUCUGGCUGGCAAAUGGAGAAGAGAUGGCAUGUGAUAUUAUACCACAAUACAGUUACUUGAAGUUUUUUAAAUUUUGAUGAUACCAUUAUGAAAAAAAGCAUUUAAAGUAUCACACAACAAUCUUUCUAUGAUGAAAACACCAGCUGGUUCCUGAAACAGUAUGAUAAAUUACCAACGAUCAAGGCUAUGCAGAAUCAUCCAUGGCUGAGGAUGGAAGCGAUAUUUUCAGCAAGCUGAACUGAGAAGCAGUAAAUAUUGCUGAUGUAUUAACUGUGUAAUUGUGUGUUCCUGUAAACCUGAGGCUCCAACGACACUGGAAUUAGGACACAACAAAGAUGAUCAGUUUGCAGACAGGAGGGAAGUUUUCUUUUAUAUUGUUGGAGGGUUGAAAGUUAGUAGGUUGCUUUUACUUCUCUAUUUAAUGACACUACGAAAAUAAGAACCUGUUCUUUCACACCUCCACCCUAUUGAUUUAGAUCCAUUAUACAGAUCUCAGUUUUAUCUUUACAGUGAUUCAUUUUCAAAUCUGCUGCAGUGCAUCCCUCCCAUAUUUCGCAUCCAUAUGUCUAGCAAAAAAGUUUCAAGCAUUACUUUGUACACAAAUUACUAAGUUAACAGUGCAUUCUAAGAUGAACAUAUUUGGGAAAAAAAUGUUCACUUUAAAGACAUAAAAUGAGUAAAUGACUGGAGAUAUGUUGCAAAAUGAAUCACUGUCUUAUUAAUCUAUAGAAAAAGUUACAAGCUUUUGAUCAAAAAUAUGACUUACAGAUUGGGUUUUUAGAAAAAGUGAAUAGUUAAGAAAUGUUUAAAUCAAGUAGAAAACAAUGAUUGAAUUUUUUGAGGUCCUUUUGGCUAUAAUUUAAGUGAUUGUUGUUUUUGGUAUGUCUUAUUAACAGAACUGUGAAAACCCGAAAUCAGAAAAAAUAUUUUGUAAUCAAUUUGCGAUUAAAAAGACCCUCUG